Molecule: ribosomal RNA, 253 nt
Filed under: uncultured bacterium
Lineage: Bacteria
Description: partial 16S ribosomal RNA
Rfam family: Bacterial small subunit ribosomal RNA
Source: RNAcentral
UACGUAGGGUGCGAGCGUUAAUCGGAAUUACUGGGCGUAAAGCGUGCGCAGGCGGUUUUGCAAGCCGGAUGUGAAAUCCCCGGGCUCAACCUGGGAAUGGCAUUUGGGACUGCAAGGCUUGAGUGCGGCAGAGGAGACUGGAAUUCCUGGUGUAGCAGUGAAAUGCGUAGAUAUCAGGAGGAAUACCGAUGGCGAAGGCAGCCCCCUGGGAUAACACUGACGCUCAUGCACGAAAGCGUGGGGAGCAAACAGG